RNAcentral lists this unclassified non-coding RNA (424 nucleotides) under Bombus terrestris (buff-tailed bumblebee). RNAcentral describes it as "misc RNA ENSBTSG00005037953.1". Lineage: Eukaryota; Metazoa; Arthropoda; Insecta; Hymenoptera; Apidae. The record is from RNAcentral.
GGAUUAUUAACCAGUAUUAUUAUAGCGGCAUUGAGCGAGCGACGAUUACGAUGUAAUAUACUAACUCUGUAUUCUGUGCUUAGAGCGAUUUUCAAUAUAUCCGACUAUCAUAAGUAUUCACUCAUCUCGUCAUUAAAUAGAUCAACACGUUUGAUAUCCACCAUAUAUCCAACAUAUGAUUUAUGAUCCAUAAAAUGCAGUAGGAGUACAAAAUUAUGCACUUGCGUACAAUGAUGGUUGACCAAUUCGUGCCACACCUGAAGCUUCUAAACGUGCAGCGUCUCGACGAGGAAGAGAAAUCGUACAUGCAGUAACGCAGAAACGUCAGCAAAGAAUCUUGCAAACUCUCGAAGAACUUUCGCUCGAACUACCGUGGAUCAAUACCUCACAGCUCGAGGAACGUACUUCUCGAACUUGUAGCCAC